AGAGCUUGCUCUCGGGUGACGAGCGGCGGACGGGUGAGUAAUGUCUGGGAAACUGCCUGAUGGAGGGGGAUAACUACUGGAAACGGUAGCUAAUACCGCAUAAUGUCGCAAGACCAAAGUGGGGGACCUUCGGGCCUCAUGCCAUCAGAUGUGCCCAGAUGGGAUUAGCUGGUAGGUGGGGUAACGGCUCACCUAGGCGACGAUCCCUAGCUGGUCUGAGAGGAUGACCAGCCACACUGGAACUGAGACACGGUCCAGACUCCUACGGGAGGCAGCAGUGGGGAAUAUUGCACAAUGGGCGCAAGCCUGAUGCAGCCAUGCCGCGUGUGUGAAGAAGGCCUUCGGGUUGUAAAGCACUUUCAGCGGGGAGGAAGGCGGUGAGGUUAAUAACCUCAUCGAUUGACGUUACCCGCAGAAGAAGCACCGGCUAACUCCGUGCCAGCAGCCGCGGUAAUACGGAGGGUGCAAGCGUUAAUCGGAAUUACUGGGCGUAAAGCGCACGCAGGCGGUCUGUCAAGUCGGAUGUGAAAUCCCCGGGCUCAACCUGGGAACUGCAUUCGAAACUGGCAGGCUAGAGUCUUGUAGAGGGGGGUAGAAUUCCAGGUGUAGCGGUGAAAUGCGUAGAGAUCUGGAGGAAUACCGGUGGCGAAGGCGGCCCCCUGGACAAAGACUGACGCUCAGGUGCGAAAGCGUNNGAGCAAACAGGAUUAGAUACCCUGGUAGUCCACGCUGUAAACGAUGUCGAUUUGGAGGUUGUGCCCUUGAGGCGUGGCUUCCGGAGCUAACGCGUUAAAUCGACCGCCUGGGGAGUACGGCCGCAAGGUUAAAACUCAAAUGAAUUGACGGGGGCCCGCACAAGCGGUGGAGCAUGUGGUUUAAUUCGAUGCAACGCGAAGAACCUUACCUGGUCUUGACAUCCACA
RNAcentral lists this ribosomal RNA (922 nucleotides) under Klebsiella variicola. Its description in RNAcentral is "bacterial SSU rRNA". It matches the Rfam family "Bacterial small subunit ribosomal RNA", at positions 75 to 992 of the family's 1533-position model. RNAcentral also lists the same sequence under 1 other name. The record is from RNAcentral. Lineage: Bacteria; Pseudomonadati; Pseudomonadota; Gammaproteobacteria; Enterobacterales; Enterobacteriaceae.